GACGAACGCUGGCGGCGUGCUUAACACAUGCAAGUCGAACGGACAGGCCCUGCUCUUGCGGGGUGCUCGAGUGGCGAACGGGUGAGUAACACGUGAGUAACCUGCACUUGACUUUGGGAUAACUUCACGGAACUGGGGCUCAUACCGGGUAUGAGCUCCUGCUCCACGGUGGUCGAUGGAAAGUGUCGGCGGUUCGGGAUGGACUCGCGGGUUAUCCGCUUGUUGGUGGGGUAGUGGCUUACCAGGGCUUUGACGGGUAGCCGGCCUGGGAGGGUGACCGGCGACAAGGGGACUGAGAGACGCACCAGACUGGUACGGGAGGCAGUAGUGGGGAAUAUGGCACAAUGGGCGGAAGCCUGAGGCAGCAACGCCGCGUGCGGGAAGACGGCUUUCGGGUUAUAAACCAAUGUCGCCUGUGACGAAGCGGGAGUGACGGUAAUGGGUAAGGAAGCACCGGCUAACUACGUG
This 468-nucleotide ribosomal RNA is filed under the name uncultured bacterium. Its description in RNAcentral is "partial 16S ribosomal RNA". It matches the Rfam family "Bacterial small subunit ribosomal RNA", at positions 28 to 507 of the family's 1533-position model. The record is from RNAcentral.